GACGAACGCUGGCGGCGUGCUUAACACAUGCAAGUCGAACGGAAAGGCCCUGCUUUUGUGGGGUGCUCGAGUGGCGAACGGGUGAGUAACACGUGAGUAACCUGCCCUUGACUUUGGGAUAACUUCAGGAAACUGGGGCUAAUACCGGAUAGGAGCUCCUGCUGCAUGGUGGGGGUUGGAAAGUUUCGGCGGUUGGGGAUGGACUCGCGGCUUAUCAGCUUGUUGGUGGGGUAGUGGCUUACCAAGGCUUUGACGGGUAGCCGGCCUGAGAGGGUGACCGGCCACAUUAGGACUGGGAUACGGCCCAGACUCCUACGGGAGGCAGCAGUGGGGAAUAUUGCACAAUGGGCGGAAGCCUGAUGCAGCAACGCCGCGUGCGGGAUGACGGCCUUCGGGGUGUAAACCGCUUUCGCCUGUGACGAAGCGUGAGUGACGGUAAUGGGUAAAGAAGCACCGGCUAACUACGUG
This 468-nucleotide ribosomal RNA is filed under the name uncultured bacterium. RNAcentral's name for it is "partial 16S ribosomal RNA". It matches the Rfam family "Bacterial small subunit ribosomal RNA", at positions 28 to 507 of the family's 1533-position model. The record is from RNAcentral.